AUUGAACGCUGGCGGCAGGCCUAACACAUGCAAGUCGAGCGGUUGAAGGGAGCUUGCUCCCUGAUUCAGCGGCGGACGGGUGAGUAAUGCCUAGGAAUCUGCCUAUUAGUGGGGGACAACGUUUCGAAAGGAACGCUAAUACCGCAUACGUCCUACGGGAGAAAGCAGGGGACCUUCGGGCCUUACGCUAAUAGAUGAGCCUAGGUCGGAUUAGCUUGUUGGUGAGGUAAUGGCUCACCAAGGCGACGAUCCGUAACUGGUCUGAGAGGAUGAUCAGUCACACUGGAACUGAGACACGGUCCAGACUCCUACGGGAGGCAGCAGUGGGGAAUAUUGGACAAUGGGCGAAAGCCUGAUCCAGCCAUGCCGCGUGUGUGAAGAAGGUCUUCGGAUUGUAAAGCACUUUAAGUUGGGAGGAAGGGUUGUAGAUUAAUACUCUGCAAUUUUGACGUUACCGACAGAAUAAGCACCGGCUAACUCUGUGCCAGCAGCCGCCGUAA
This 500-nucleotide ribosomal RNA is filed under the name uncultured bacterium. RNAcentral's name for it is "partial 16S ribosomal RNA". It matches the Rfam family "Bacterial small subunit ribosomal RNA", at positions 30 to 523 of the family's 1533-position model. The record is from RNAcentral.